This 2898-nucleotide ribosomal RNA is filed under the name Avibacterium paragallinarum. RNAcentral's name for it is "23S ribosomal RNA". It matches the Rfam family "Bacterial large subunit ribosomal RNA". Lineage: Bacteria; Pseudomonadati; Pseudomonadota; Gammaproteobacteria; Pasteurellales; Pasteurellaceae. The record is from RNAcentral.
AGUUAAGUGAGAAAGCGUACAGGGCGGAUGCCUUGGCAAUCAGAGGCGAAGAAGGACGUGCUAAUCUGCGAAAAGCGUGGGUGAGUUGAUAAGAAGCGUUUAACCCACGAUGUCCGAAUGGGGAAACCCGAUAGGCGAAGAGCCUAUCAUUGCGAGGUGAAUAAAAUAGCCUCGUAAGGCGAACCGGGAGAACUGAAACAUCUAAGUACCCCGAGGAAAAGAAAUCAACCGAGAUUCUGUGAGUAGCGGCGAGCGAAAGCGGAGGAGCCAGUAAGUAAUAGCAGCAGAGAUAGAGGAAUUGUCUGGGAAGGCAAGCGACACAGGGUGAUAGCCCCGUACUUAAAAUCCAGGCUGUGGUACUAAGCUUACGAGAAGUAGGGCGGGACACGAGGAAUCUUGUCUGAAGAUGGGGGGACCAUCCUCCAAGGCUAAAUACUCCUGAUUGACCGAUAGUGAACCAGUACUGUGAAGGAAAGGCGAAAAGAACCCCGGUGAGGGGAGUGAAAUAGAACCUGAAACCCUGUACGUACAAGCAGUGGGAGCCCGCAAGGGUGACUGCGUACCUUUUGUAUAAUGGGUCAGCGACUUAUAUUUUGUAGCAAGGUUAACUGAAUAAGGGAGCCGAAGGGAAACCGAGUCUUAACUGGGCGGUUAGUUGCAAGGUAUAGACCCGAAACCCGGUGAUCUAGCCAUGGGCAGGUUGAAGGUUGGGUAACACUAACUGGAGGACCGAACCGACUAAUGUUGAAAAAUUAGCGGAUGACCUGUGGCUGGGGGUGAAAGGCCAAUCAAACCGGGAGAUAGCUGGUUCUCCCCGAAAUCUAUUUAGGUAGAGCCUUGUGUGAAUACCUUUGGGGGUAGAGCACUGUUUCGGCUAGGGGCCCAUCCCGGGUUACCAAACCGAUGCAAACUCCGAAUACCAAAGAGUAAUGCACAGGAGACACACGGCGGGUGCUAACGUCCGUCGUGGAGAGGGAAACAACCCAGACCGCCAGCUAAGGUCCCAAAAUCUAUAUUAAGUGGGAAACGAAGUGGGAAGGCUUAGACAGCUAGGAUGUUGGCUUAGAAGCAGCCACCAUUUAAAGAAAGCGUAAUAGCUCACUAGUCGAGUCACCUGCGCGGAAGAUGUAACGGGGCUAAAAUAUAGUACCGAAGCUGCGGCAUCAAUCGAAAGAUUGUUGGGUAGGGGAGCGUUGUGUAAGCGGAAGAAGGUGAUUUGAGAAGAUUGCUGGACGUAUCACAAGUGCGAAUGCUGACAUAAGUAACGAUAAAACGGGUGAAAAACCCGUUCGCCGGAAGACCAAGGGUUCCUGUCCAACGUUAAUCGGGGCAGGGUGAGUCGGCCCCUAAGGCGAGGCUGAAAAGCGUAGUCGAUGGGAAACGGGUUAAUAUUCCCGUACUUGGUAAAGCUGCGAUGUGGGGACGGAGAAGGUUAGGUUAUCGACCUGUUGGAGAUGGUCGUUUAAGUUGGUAGGUGGGUGAGUUAGGCAAAUCCGGCUCACCGUUAACACUGAGAGAUGAUGACGAGGCACUAAGGUGCUGAAGUAACUGAUACCACACUUCCAGGAAAAGCCACUAAGCUUCAGGCUUUACUAAACCGUACUGAAAACCGACACAGGUGGUCAGGUAGAGAAUACUCAGGCGCUUGAGAGAACUCGGGUGAAGGAACUAGGCAAAAUAGCACCGUAACUUCGGGAGAAGGUGCGCCGGCGUAGAUUGUAGUGACUUGCUCACGAAGGUUGAACCGGUCGAAGAUACCAGCUGGCUGCAACUGUUUAUUAAAAACACAGCACUCUGCAAACACGAAAGUGGACGUAUAGGGUGUGAUGCCUGCCCGGUGCUGGAAGGUUAAUUGAUGGUGUAAUCGAAAGAGAAGCUCCUGAUCGAAGCCCCAGUAAACGGCGGCCGUAACUAUAACGGUCCUAAGGUAGCGAAAUUCCUUGUCGGGUAAGUUCCGACCUGCACGAAUGGCAUAAUGAUGGCCAGGCUGUCUCCACCCGAGACUCAGUGAAAUUGAAAUCGCCGUGAAGAUGCGGUGUACCCGCGGCUAGACGGAAAGACCCCGUGAACCUUUACUAUAGCUUGACACUGAACCUUGAAUUUUGAUGUGUAGGAUAGGUGGGAGACUGUGAAGCGGUAACGCCAGUUAUCGUGGAGUCGUUGUUGAAAUACCACCCUUUAACGUUUGAUGUUCUAACGAAGUGCCUGAAACGGGUACUCGGACAGUGUCUGGUGGGUAGUUUGACUGGGGCGGUCUCCUCCCAAAGUGUAACGGAGGAGCACGAAGGUUUGCUAAUGACGGUCGGACAUCGUCAGGUUAGUGCAAUGGUAUAAGCAAGCUUAACUGCGAGACAGACAAGUCGAGCAGGUGCGAAAGCAGGUCAUAGUGAUCCGGUGGUUCUGAAUGGAAGGGCCAUCGCUCAACGGAUAAAAGGUACUCCGGGGAUAACAGGCUGAUACCGCCCAAGAGUUCAUAUCGACGGCGGUGUUUGGCACCUCGAUGUCGGCUCAUCACAUCCUGGGGCUGAAGUAGGUCCCAAGGGUAUGGCUGUUCGCCAUUUAAAGUGGUACGCGAGCUGGGUUUAGAACGUCGUGAGACAGUUCGGUCCCUAUCUGCCGUGGGCGUUGGAGAAUUGAGAGGGGCUGCUCCUAGUACGAGAGGACCGGAGUGGACGCAUCACUGGUGUACCAGUUGUCUCGCCAGAGGCACAGCUGGGUAGCUAAAUGCGGAAGAGAUAAGUGCUGAAAGCAUCUAAGCACGAAACUUGCCUCAAGAUGAGUUCUCCCAGUCUAUAAGACUGUAAGGGUUGUUUGAGACUAAGACGUAGAUAGGCUGGGUGUGUAAGCGGUGUGAGCCGUUGAGCUAACCAGUACUAAUUGCCCGAGAGGCUUAACUAU